Molecule: ribosomal RNA, 238 nt
Filed under: uncultured bacterium
Lineage: Bacteria
Description: partial 16S ribosomal RNA
Rfam family: Bacterial small subunit ribosomal RNA
Source: RNAcentral
UGGCGGACGGGUGAGUAACGCGUGGGUAACCUGCCUCAUACAGGGGGAUAACAGUUAGAAAUGACUGCUAAUACCGCAUAAGACCACAGCACCGCAUGGUGCAGGGGUAAAAACUCCGGUGGUAUGAGAUGGACCCGCGUCUGAUUAGGUAGUUGGUGGGGUAACGGCCUACCAAGCCGACGAUCAGUAGCCGACCUGAGAGGGUGACCGGCCACAUUGGAACUGAGACACGGUCCAG